AGUCGAGCGAACAGAUAAGGAGCUUGCUCCUUUGACGUUAGCGGCGGACGGGUGAGUAACACGUGGGUAACCUACCUAUAAGACUGGGAUAACUUCGGGAAACCGGAGCUAAUACCGGAUAACAUUUGGAACCGCAUGGUUCUAAAGUGAAAGAUGGUUUUGCUAUCACUUAUAGAUGGACCCGCGCCGUAUUAGCUAGUUGGUAAGGUAACGGCUUACCAAGGCGACGAUACGUAGCCGACCUGAGAGGGUGAUCGGCCACACUGGAACUGAGACACGGUCCAGACUCCUACGGGAGGCAGCAGUAGGGAAUCUUCCGCAAUGGGCGAAAGCCUGACGGAGCAACGCCGCGUGAGUGAUGAAGGGUUUCGGCUCGUAAAACUCUGUUAUUAGGGAAGAACAAACGUGUAAGUAACUGUGCACGUCUUGACGGUACCUAAUCAGAAAGCCACGGCUAACUACGUGCCAGCAGCCGCGGUAAUACGUAGGUGGCAAGCGUUAUCCGGAAUUAUUGGGCGUAAAGCGCGCGUAGGCGGUUUCUUAAGUCUGAUGUGAAAGCCCACGGCUCAACCGUGGAGGGUCAUUGGAAACUGGGAAACUUGAGUGCAGAAGAGGAAAGUGGAAUUCCAUGUGUAGCGGUGAAAUGCGCAGAGAUAUGGAGGAACACCAGUGGCGAAGGCGACUUUCUGGUCUGUAACUGACGCUGAUGUGCGAAAGCGUGGGGAUCAAACAGGAUUAGAUACCCUGGUAGUCCACGCCGUAAACGAUGAGUGCUAAGUGUUAGGGGGUUUCCGCCCCUUAGUGCUGCAGCUAACGCAUUAAGCACUCCGCCUGGGGAGUACGACCGCAAGGUUGAAACUCAAAGGAAUUGACGGGGACCCGCACAAGCGGUGGAGCAUGUGGUUUAAUUCGAAGCAACGCGAAGAACCUUACCAAAUCUUGACAUCCUUUGAAAACUCUAGAGAUAGAGCCUUCCCCUUCGGGGGACAAAGUGACAGGUGGUGCAUGGUUGUCGUCAGCUCGUGUCGUGAGAUGUUGGGUUAAGUCCCGCAACGAGCGCAACCCUUAAGCUUAGUUGCCAUCAUUAAGUUGGGCACUCUAGGUUGACUGCCGGUGACAAACCGGAGGAAGGUGGGGAUGACGUCAAAUCAUCAUGCCCCUUAUGAUUUGGGCUACACACGUGCUACAAUGGACAAUACAAAGGGCAGCUAAACCGCGAGGUCAUGCAAAUCCCAUAAAGUUGUUCUCAGUUCGGAUUGUAGUCUGCAACUCGACUACAUGAAGCUGGAAUCGCUAGUAAUCGUAGAUCAGCAUGCUACGGUGAAUACGUUCCCGGGUCUUGUACACACCGCCCGUCACACCACGAGAGUUUGUAACACCCGAAGCCGGUGGAGUAACC
Molecule: ribosomal RNA, 1399 nt
Filed under: Staphylococcus sp. LB7
Lineage: Bacteria; Bacillati; Bacillota; Bacilli; Caryophanales; Staphylococcaceae
Description: 16S ribosomal RNA
Rfam family: Bacterial small subunit ribosomal RNA
Source: RNAcentral